This 164-nucleotide small nuclear RNA is filed under the name Haemaphysalis longicornis (longhorned tick). RNAcentral describes it as "U1 spliceosomal RNA". It matches the Rfam family "U1 spliceosomal RNA". From Rfam's summary of the family: U1 is a small nuclear RNA (snRNA) component of the spliceosome (involved in pre-mRNA splicing). The record is from Rfam by way of RNAcentral. Lineage: Eukaryota; Metazoa; Arthropoda; Arachnida; Ixodida; Ixodidae.
AUACUUACCUGUUGCUGGGCUCUCCGGUGGUCACUAUGGCCGGCGCCCCAAGCGGAGGCCCGCCAUUGCACUGCGGCGGGCUGAAGCUGCUAGCCCACUUCUCCAAACUGGGGAUGUGGGCAUGCAAUUUGUGUAGUGGGGUCUCAGGCGUGCGCGUGGCCCCU